This 827-nucleotide ribosomal RNA is filed under the name Striaticonidium cinctum. RNAcentral's name for it is "eukaryotic LSU rRNA". It matches the Rfam family "Eukaryotic large subunit ribosomal RNA", at positions 74 to 935 of the family's 3401-position model. The record is from RNAcentral. Lineage: Eukaryota; Fungi; Ascomycota; Sordariomycetes; Hypocreales; Stachybotryaceae.
AUUGCCUCAGUAACGGCGAGUGAAGCGGCAACAGCUCAAAUUUGAAAUCUGCCCCCCCGGGCCGAGUUGUAAUUUGCAGAGGAUGCUUUUGGCGAGGUGCCUUCCGAGUUCCCUGGAACGGGACGCCAUAGAGGGUGAGAGCCCCGUCUGGUCGGACACCGAGCCUCUGUAAAGCUCCUUCGACGAGUCGAGUAGUUUGGGAAUGCUGCUCUAAAUGGGAGGUAUAUGUCUUCUAAAGCUAAAUACCGGCCAGAGACCGAUAGCGCACAAGUAGAGUGAUCGAAAGAUGAAAAGCACUUUGAAAAGAGAGUUAAAUAGCACGUGAAAUUGUUGAAAGGGAAGCGUUUAUGACCAGACUUGGCCCGGUUGAUCAUCCAGCGUUCUCGCUGGUGCACUCUGCCGGUCCAGGCCAGCAUCAGUUCGCUCCGGGGGACAAAGGUUUCGGGAAUGUGGCUCCUCCGGGAGUGUUAUAGCCCGUUGCGUAAUACCCUGGGGUGGACUGAGGUCCGCGCAUUGCAAGGAUGCUGGCGUAAUGGUCAUCAACGACCCGUCUUGAAACACGGACCAAGGAGUCGUCUUCGUAUGCGAGUGUUCGGGUGCAAAACCCCUACGCGUAAUGAAAGUGAACGCAGGUGAGAGCUUCGGCGCAUCAUCGACCGAUCCUGAUGUUCUCGGAUGGAUUUGAGUAAGAGCAUACGGGGCCGGACCCGAAAGAAGGUGAACUAUGCCUGUAUAGGGUGAAGCCAGAGGAAACUCUGGUGGAGGCUCGCAGCGGUUCUGACGUGCAAAUCGAUCGUCAAAUAUGGGCAUGGGGGCGAAAGACUAAU